Molecule: long non-coding RNA, 349 nt
Filed under: Panax ginseng (ginseng)
Lineage: Eukaryota; Viridiplantae; Streptophyta; Magnoliopsida; Apiales; Araliaceae
Description: long non-coding RNA (PGIN_LNC005244)
Source: RNAcentral
CCUUCCAAAACUCUUCUAUUUUCAAGCUAUUCACACUAAAGCACUUCUAAAUUCUAUUAAAACUCUACGAUGGGAGGUCAUCCACUGAAUUUGAAGUAGAGCCGCAUGCUGUCAAAAGAAGAAUGGAAUUUUACUAAUUACAAGUUUAAAGCAAAAAGUUAACCAAGAACAUAUCAAUUAAGCCUUGUUACAAUGUAAACUAUGUAAUUCAUGCUAGUUUUAUGAAUUUUAGUUAGGUAAUGUCUUGUAAUUGUUGUGAAUUGAUUGUGUUUGGGUUGUGAGUUGCUAAGGAGAUCUUAUGUAGGUAGAAUGGAGUUAUAAGGGAGGAAAAUUUUGGGCUUAACCCUCC